This 891-nucleotide ribosomal RNA is filed under the name Aspidodera binansata. RNAcentral's name for it is "partial 16S ribosomal RNA". The record is from RNAcentral. Lineage: Eukaryota; Metazoa; Nematoda; Chromadorea; Rhabditida; Aspidoderidae.
CCUGGGAUAUUUUAGUAGGGGGGUAGGGGUAUGUAAUUAGGGACUUUUUAGUUUAUAGAAAAAAUUUUUGGUAGGGGGAACAAAGGAAUUAGGGGCUUUAGGUGUUUUGGUUAGUUUUUUAGUAUUGCAUAUUAUUAGAGGAUUAGAUUUAUGUUUGGAUUAUUAAUAGAAAUAAAAGGGGGAAAGAUUUUUGGUUUUAUUGUUGUAUAAUAGGAAUUAUUAUUUUUUGUUUUGAUAUAACGUCUUUUAUUAUAUCUGUGGUGUUUGUAUUUUUUAGAAAAUUGUAAAUUUUUGUUGGUUUUUGGGGAAGGUUUAGAAUUUGAAGUUUUUUGUUUUUUUGGGGUAUGACUUUUUCUGGUGGAAUAAGUGGUUUGGUAUAUUUUUUUUAUUAAUGUUUAAAUAUUUUGAUGGUUUUAAAUUUAGUAUAUUGUGGUAAAUGUGUUUGUUGUUAUGAAUUGGUGAUAAUACCUGAUUUUAUAAUCAAAUGUUUAUUAAAGACUUAGACCCUAUUGUGGUGUUGUCCUCUGCUCUAUGAUGGUUAAAAUGGCCGCCUUAGCGUGAGGCCCUGAAAGUAGCAAAAUAAUUUGUGUUUUUAAUGGAUUCGAGUAUGAAAGGGGGUUUUGGUUAUUUUGUUUUUGUUUUUAUUUAGAAGUAUAGUGGUGUUUAAUAAUUAAUGUUUGUGGUUAAACAAAGAUAAGUCUUCGGAAUUUCCGUUGAUCCUUGAAAAUGUUGGUUUUAUGAUUAUGUUGUUUAGGGCAAGAUUUUGUAUAAGGAUUUUUAUUAUUUUUAUGUAAAAGAGUUACUCCGGAGUUAACCGAAAAUCCCUUUUUUCUAGAUGUUAUAGAUAAAAGGGUUUUACCUCGAUGUUGUAUUCUAAUUGUGGAAAGGAGU